Molecule: ribosomal RNA, 516 nt
Filed under: uncultured bacterium
Lineage: Bacteria
Description: bacterial SSU rRNA
Rfam family: Bacterial small subunit ribosomal RNA
Source: RNAcentral
CCUGGCUUAGAACGAACGCUGGCGGCGCGUCUUAAGCAUGCAAGUCGAGCGGUAAGAUUGGUGCUUGCACUAAUCCUAGAGCGGCGGACUGGUGAGUAACGCGUGGGUGACGUACCUCUGUGACGGGGACAGCUCCUAGAAAUAGGGGAUAAUACCGGAUACGCUGUGUGCUGUCAGAGGGCACACAGGAAAGGAUCUUUUGAUUCGCACAGAGAGCGGCCCGCGUACUAUUAGCUAGUUGGUGAGGUAACGGCCCACCAAGGCGACGAUAGUUACCCGGCCCAAGAGGGUGAUCGGGCACAUUGGGACUGAGAUACGGCCCAGACUCCUACGGGAGGCAGCAGCUAAGAAUAUUCCGCAAUGGACGAAAGUCUGACGGAGCGACGCCGCGUGGAUGAUGAAGGCCGGAAGGUUGUAAAAUCCUUUUAUGACUGAGGAAUAAGGAAAGUGAGAGAAACGCUUUCUGGUGACUGUAGGUCAUGAAUAAGCAACGGCUAAUUACGUGCCAGCCGCAGC